This 1362-nucleotide ribosomal RNA is filed under the name Pseudomonas fluorescens. RNAcentral describes it as "partial 23S ribosomal RNA". It matches the Rfam family "Bacterial large subunit ribosomal RNA", at positions 1584 to 2925 of the family's 2925-position model. The record is from RNAcentral. Lineage: Bacteria; Pseudomonadati; Pseudomonadota; Gammaproteobacteria; Pseudomonadales; Pseudomonadaceae.
GACGAAGUGGUUGAUGCCAUGCUUCCAAGAAAAGCUUCUAAGCUUCAGGUAACCAGGAACCGUACCCCAAACCGACACAGGUGGUUGGGUAGAGAAUACCAAGGCGCUUGAGAGAACUCGGGUGAAGGAACUAGGCAAAAUGGCACCGUAACUUCGGGAGAAGGUGCGCCGGUGAGGGUGAAGGACUUGCUCCGUAAGCUCAUGCCGGUCGAAGAUACCAGGCCGCUGCGACUGUUUAUUAAAAACACAGCACUCUGCAAACACGAAAGUGGACGUAUAGGGUGUGACGCCUGCCCGGUGCCGGAAGGUUAAUUGAUGGGGUUAGCUAACGCGAAGCUCUUGAUCGAAGCCCCGGUAAACGGCGGCCGUAACUAUAACGGUCCUAAGGUAGCGAAAUUCCUUGUCGGGUAAGUUCCGACCUGCACGAAUGGCGUAACGAUGGCGGCGCUGUCUCCACCCGAGACUCAGUGAAAUUGAAAUCGCUGUGAAGAUGCAGUGUAUCCGCGGCUAGACGGAAAGACCCCGUGAACCUUUACUAUAGCUUUGCACUGGACUUUGAAUUUGCUUGUGUAGGAUAGGUGGGAGGCUUUGAAGCGUGGACGCCAGUCUGCGUGGAGCCAACCUUGAAAUACCACCCUGGCAACUUUGAGGUUCUAACUCAGGUCCGUUAUCCGGAUCGAGGACAGUGUAUGGUGGGUAGUUUGACUGGGGCGGUCUCCUCCUAAAGAGUAACGGAGGAGUACGAAGGUGCGCUCAGACCGGUCGGAAAUCGGUCGUAGAGUAUAAAGGCAAAAGCGCGCUUGACUGCGAGACAGACACGUCGAGCAGGUACGAAAGUAGGUCUUAGUGAUCCGGUGGUUCUGUAUGGAAGGGCCAUCGCUCAACGGAUAAAAGGUACUCCGGGGAUAACAGGCUGAUACCGCCCAAGAGUUCAUAUCGACGGCGGUGUUUGGCACCUCGAUGUCGGCUCAUCACAUCCUGGGGCUGAAGCCGGUCCCAAGGGUAUGGCUGUUCGCCAUUUAAAGUGGUACGCGAGCUGGGUUUAGAACGUCGUGAGACAGUUCGGUCCCUAUCUGCCGUGGACGUUUGAGAUUUGAGAGGGGCUGCUCCUAGUACGAGAGGACCGGAGUGGACGAACCUCUGGUGUUCCGGUUGUCACGCCAGUGGCAUUGCCGGGUAGCUAUGUUCGGAAUAGAUAACCGCUGAAAGCAUCUAAGCGGGAAACUAGCCUCAAGAUGAGAUCUCACUGGAACCUUGAGUUCCCUGAAGGGCCGUCGAAGACUACGACGUUGAUAGGUUGGGUGUGUAAGCGCUGUGAGGCGUUGAGCUAACCAAUACUAAUUGCCCGUGAGGCUUGACCAU